Molecule: non-coding RNA, 78 nt
Organism: Schistosoma rodhaini
Lineage: Eukaryota; Metazoa; Platyhelminthes; Trematoda; Strigeidida; Schistosomatidae
Source: Rfam
AGUUUCCUGAAACCGUGCGGAGAUUUCGUCAGACACCAACCAAUUAGAGUUGGUCAGACUUCCAAGAUGAGUGAAGCU